This 74-nucleotide transfer RNA is filed under the name bacterium HR34. RNAcentral's name for it is "tRNA-Arg". It matches the Rfam family "tRNA". Rfam says of the family: Transfer RNA (tRNA) molecules are approximately 80 nucleotides in length. Their secondary structure includes four short double-helical elements and three loops (D, anti-codon, and T loops). The record is from RNAcentral.
GCCCCCGUAGUUCAAUGGAUAGAACACGGGCCUUCUAAGCCUGAAAUGCAGGUUCGAUUCCUGCCGGGGGCGCC